CCCUGCCGCUGUCUCUAAAGCAGGGCCUGGCCUUGGCAGGCCCCCGCACAUCUGUCUCUGGCCCCACCGCUGGAGUCUCUCAGUUCCCGGAGGAUCCGAAGGUGGAGAGCAGGGAGCAGUGUGGACCGUCCCUGAAGGGCCUUAGGUUAGUGUCUACCCAGUUUCCUUCACUGAAUGUGCAGAAGAGAAGAAAACAAUGCCUUCACCAGUCCCAGGAGUUCACACAUUUUAUUCAGCAGACAUUUCCGAGAACCUAUUUUGUGAACAUACAGUCUACCUUGGGUUAAAUGUCAUCUUUAUGACCAUAAUUACUUCAUAUGUGCUGCAUAACCAGACCAGAAUAAUACUACUGAGCUCAAAGAAAGGUAUCAAAAAGUACAAUGUAGGGAAAAUGUCAGAAGAGACAUCUUUUCUCCUCUGGGUGUUGAGAAAUAGCAUAAAUUGGUUUUAUGAUAUUCCAUAUUACUGCUGCCAGUAGGGAAGGCUCUUAUACAGAUUUGAAAAUGAAGUCUGUUUUAUGCAGGGCAGAGUGAAUAGAUGGAGGGAUUGGGUUUUGAUAAUAGACAUUUUUAUUGUUAAAUCCAA
RNAcentral lists this long non-coding RNA (585 nucleotides) under Cricetulus griseus (Chinese hamster). RNAcentral's name for it is "lncRNA (ENSCGRG00000024207.1)". The record is from RNAcentral. Lineage: Eukaryota; Metazoa; Chordata; Mammalia; Rodentia; Cricetidae.